This 74-nucleotide transfer RNA is filed under the name Oscillospiraceae bacterium. Its description in RNAcentral is "tRNA-Arg". It matches the Rfam family "tRNA". Rfam says of the family: Transfer RNA (tRNA) molecules are approximately 80 nucleotides in length. The record is from RNAcentral. Lineage: Bacteria; Bacillati; Bacillota; Clostridia; Eubacteriales; Oscillospiraceae.
GUGCCUGUAGCUCAGCUGGAUAGAGUGACUGGCUACGAACCAGUAUGUCGGGGGUUCGAGUCCCUCCAGGCACG